This 414-nucleotide long non-coding RNA is filed under the name Gossypium barbadense (sea-island cotton). RNAcentral describes it as "long non-coding RNA (GBAR_LNC000308)". Lineage: Eukaryota; Viridiplantae; Streptophyta; Magnoliopsida; Malvales; Malvaceae. The record is from RNAcentral.
CAAUGAAGUAAGAACAGUAAAUAAGAGAGAGAGAGAGAGAGAGAUAGAGAGUGAGUGAUGGGUCUAAUUAAUUAAAGAGGAAGAAGCGUUUUUUAGACUUUAAAAAAGAAAAAGACAGAUAAACAUAAUCAGACUGGAUGGUUUAUAUGGAGAGCAUAUUUAGAAGGAUGAAAGGAUCAUCGUCAUCAUCAUGGUUAUUCUCUCGCUCUCCUCUCGUUACUGGUGUAAAGCCCCACCUUGCCCUUCAGUCUUUUCUUGCGUUCAUCAUCAUCAUCAUUCUCACCCUCCCCCUUUCCUUUCCAUCCCCUCGUUUCUGGUGAAGCAAACGCUCGCAAUACACCAACCCACUUUUUCUCUCUCUGAAACUGAAAGAGGAGCGAUGUUAGGGUUUUCAGGGAAAGACAAGGGUUUUUU